CAUAAGAAAAAUAAAAAAAUAAUCAAAAAGAGAAAACCAGGACUGCUAAAUUUAAACUUGAAAGCUCAAAAGAAAAACAUCAAACGAUUUCUUAAUAGAAUCAUGCAAUGCAACCAAAUAGCUUGAAUUUAAAACAUGAAUAUCGAAAUAUUUGCCCAUUGGUCUUUGGCACACUGCUGCAAAGCCUAGAGCAGCCAAGCGUACCAACAAAAUUUAGCAUAUCUUACCAUCAAGCAGGUCCCAGCACGAACAUUACAGAUGGGAUAGUCAUGUGGGCAGCAGCUAUAGUGGUCAUCACAGCAGGUGGCAGCCUCAAGCGGGCAGCAUCCCCAUGCAAAGCAAGAGUUACCAUACUCAAAGACACAGCAGCAAGUGUUGCUCUCAGGGCAAGAGUAAUAAUUGUCACACACAGCAGGAGGCUUUGUUGGAGAUGGAGGGGACGGUCCAGGGUUGGGAGGAUUUUGGCCUUUCUUUAUGGGAUAUGAGGCCUCCAUGGCAAUUCCACACUUGCCCGUGAGAGUGCCAGCCACGUUACGCUCCAUCCUAAUAUAGCCAGCCUCUCCCCAGCUACUGCCCCAUGAAUUCUUCACAAUCCAGUAAUCAGCUCCAUUUUCUGUGCCAUAUCCAACAGCAGUAACACCAUGGUCCAGAGAUGUCCCACAUCUUCCCGUAAAUAUACCCUGAAAAUUUGCAAAGACAGAAAAAUAUACUUGAGACUUCCUUAAAACAGAUCAGACACACACAAGACUCUUCCUGAUCCUGUUUAGAAACCAUUAGAAAUACAAUAAUUUUUGUUCAAAUACCAUCCAGUAUUGUCUCAACCAUAUCUUUUCAGAACUGCAAAAUGCAAAUACUUUGUAUCUAGAUAAUAGCAACAUUCCUAAAUCUAAAAUGUGACAAGUGCCAUGAAGAGAUGAAAGUUACCGAUUCAUAUAACUGGAAUGCCAUGCCACCUCCUUCAAUGGCAACACUCACGGGUUGAUUUGCAACUGCCUUUUGCAAAGCUUUCUCGUCAUUUAGGGGAACAUCUUCAUAGUCAUCAAUUGUAACUACUUUGGCAUUUUUCUGACAAAGCCAAAAACCAAAGGCUUAGAAUGAUCCUCCAUUAUAUAGUAUGGCAUUUCUUCGUAAAACAAUAGAGUAAAAAUACCUACCCGAUAUGUGUCACAGCUACCAUCAAUGGCUUUGUAGGGGUAAUCUUCUUCUGUGUCAAUACCUCCAUUAUCAAUAAUGAACUCGAAUGCAUAGUCCAUCAAACCACCAUUACAUCCUUCAUUAUAUGAUGUAUCACAAUCCACCAACUCCUGCUCGGAUAGUGAGAUCAGGCUACCUGUAACAAUCUUGUUUAUACCCUCUACAGCUGCAAUGGUUGAAAAUGCCCAGCAACUCCCUUCAUUCAAGCGAGAUACAAUCAAAUAAUGGUUAGAAUCACACGACACAGAGAGCAACAGAUAAUUUGCUUUCUGAAUUUCUAACCAAGUUAAGUACUUAGACAACUCAAUAUUUGAAUAUGUUUUGUAUCUACAUCAGUUGAUUUAUUACCUACAAAAGUUAGGUAGGGGAAAAAAAAUCGUCACUUCAUAUAAUUCUGAGUUAUUAAGUUUGUUCAGAAUGAUGGAUUGAGGUUGAAUAAGACCGCAAAAGACUUGUAGGACAUAAAAUGUUUAAUAUCUCUCAUUGACAGGUUUUACCAUACUACAACUUUAAUGAUAAAUAAAAAAAUAAUUAACUUGCUACUACAGGACAAUGACUAAUACAAGUUAUGGCGUAAUAAUUAUUAUCUAAGGACUAAUCCCUAAAAUCUCUUAGAACGGAACAAGAUAUCAAGCUCGAAGCUCAUAGGUGGUGAAAUGAAUUACCAAUAUCCUGUACAAAUAAACAAAAUAAACGCACUUAUUUUGUUCAGAGCUUUAAUAAUUCUGCAGAUGCAGCCAACUGACACACUGAUAAGCGGCCCAGCCCACUGACACGUAUUAAAAUUUUGUGGUGUUACCAACUAUCACCAAAAGUGAUAGGAAUACGAUUUUCACGUCUACUGAACACAAAAAAAAUAUUACUACAGCUUUUAAAAAGGUCCGCCAAUCUGUACCCAAUGGCAGCUAUGUUCAACCAACAAGCUCUGGCCACGUCAGGACAGCCAAACAAGAUUCCAUCCAGACAGUUCUUUUUAUUUUCAUUUGGAAAACAUUUUCUCGUGAGGGAAAACAGAAAAUAUCUCGAGCCUUUCGUCAGAAGAUAUCUUCUUGUUUUUCACACUUCCUAAUUUCUUGUCAGUUUUUCUCUUUGUUGUUUUUCGACAAAACAAUAAAAAAGGAAUACUCAAUUUGGACCAUUGAUUAUCACAGUGGCCCAAGCCUCCGAACUCUCGCCAAAAGUCCGAGACGAAACAGCACUUUAAAAAAAUAAUCAUAAUAAUAGUGUCGGAGAAAAAAAGAAAUUCACGAAAACCAGAUUCUAAUUGAUGGAAAAGAUUAAAAAAUAACAGUAAUAGUCCUAACCGGUCAACUUAGCACAACUGCCCCCAACCGGAAGCAGUGCAGAUUCUUCUAACUCUAAUCAUCCUUAAAAUACCAAACAUACCCUUUCCUUUCCUUUCCUUUCCUCUCCGCAAUCGAUUCAUUCAUAAUUUUAAGAUAAUAAUUAAAGUACUGCAGGUAACGAAUAAAAUCUAAAAAAGAAAAAGUAAAUGAAAACAAUAAAAAAACUGACCACAGCUUCCUUGAUCUUUAACUUCAGCGACAGCUCCUUUCUUCCUCCAAUCAACAGAGUCCGGCAACGCCUCGCCGACACGUGGCAGAUAACGGUCGCUCCUCUUUGAUUUCAAGGAAGUCCUUUUAGCACCAAAGCGUGCACCCAGAUGCAUGGACCGGUACUCCUCGUUGGUCAAAUCAGCAAACCG
Molecule: long non-coding RNA, 2899 nt
Filed under: Citrus maxima (pomelo)
Lineage: Eukaryota; Viridiplantae; Streptophyta; Magnoliopsida; Sapindales; Rutaceae
Description: long non-coding RNA (CMAX_LNC001609)
Source: RNAcentral